UUCUUGGGCUGUGUCCCGUUCAAUCCGACAGAACAUGCUGACAGAGAUAAAGUCAUUCCUGGCAACCUGGGGCCCGGCAGGUCCCUGCAAGGCCAGUGCUGCGUGAGGAUGGUGUCCAAGGUCUUUUAAAUGGCCGGGGGGCCUAGGUGCAAUGGACAUAUUUCAGACUCAUCACUAAGCUGUUUCAUUCUGGCACAUUGUCAGAUCUGCAGAAAGGGGCUGGUGACAGCAGAAGGGGUUACCCUGUGGGGCUGUAGGAAUGCCUCCAGCGAACCGAUUUCUACCCUGUGGAAUGGCCAUGCAAACCAGACUUUUCUCCUUGAAGCCGAGAAAGUUUCCUACGCAAACAUUUCUCUGUCACCACAGAGCAUUAAGUAGAGUUCCUGUGCUACACAAGCAUGUGGUAUCUACGGUGCACAAGAAUUAUUUUUCUCUAUGCCAUGUCGCACCUUCGUAAAACUAAAUAACCUCCCUCUUCUAACUUAAACGAAAGGCCUUACUGCCCCGUGGAGAAGGGCCCAGAAGGUCUCCAGAGCAGUGUGAGGAGACCAGUUAGGCAGCUGCGGAACAGUCUAGUGCCUCAAGACGCAGAGUGGGGUCUGCAGACUGGCAACGUUGGCCUCGCCUGGGAGAGCCUGUUAGAAAUGAAGAGUCCGGGGCCCAACGCAGACGCACAGAAUCAGAACGUGCAUCUUUUUUUUUUUUUUUUUUUUGCGGUACGCGGGCCUCUCACCGUUGUGGCCUCUCCCGUUGCGGAGCACAGGCUCCGGACGCGCAGGCUCAGCGGCCGUGGCUCACGGGCCCGGCCGCUCCGCGGCACGUGGGACCUUCCCGGACCGGGACACGAACCCGUGUCCCCUGCAUCGGCAGGCGGAUUCUCAACCACUGCGCCACCAGGGAAGCCCAGAACGUGCAUCUUAACAAGGUCUCUAGGAGAUGCUCCCGCGCUGAGCCAGUAGCAUGGUGGCAGGGUCACGGGCAACCCCGACAGGUGUUAAGGAGUCUGAAUCCACAGACCUGGGGAGAGCUUGUUAUAGAAGCACAGAAGAGGCCUUUCCAAGUAAAUAUCUGGGCUGUUUUGAGCUCGUCACGGCAGUAAGGAAAAACGAAAGGCCUAGAUAAUUGGGAAAGACCUUGAGUUCAGUCCAGACCGGGCGAGAAGGCCUGCCCGCCUUGCAUGGAGCCUGGUCUCCCUGCUCGGGCUGCAGAUGACAGCGGUGCAUCCUAGGGACAAGCAGGCGGUCAUGGCCCCUGACCGUCAGCCAGGCGCACUGCCCACAAGGGUCCGUCCUUUGAGUUAGUUACGCCGAGUCCAAACCUGCACAUCAUGACGAUGCAGACUUCAAAAGAGUCCCCAGAUGCAUGGUAUUCACAGAGGACCCCCUACAGCUUUCUAACUGGAGGCCGCAACCAAAGGAUAUCCUGAACAACAUCGUAAUUGUAGAGCUUAAACUCGCAAUUUUGAGAUUCUGUAAACGCCAACAGUGUCCAACAAGUCUCCACAGCCCAGGUCCACACUUUGUGUGGGGUUCUGCCUCCAUCGUGAAUAACUGAGCCAAUUUAAGGCCUACCUGUGCCUAUACAGAAACCUGGUAGAGAUUUGAAACAUACUGAUUUCAAUAAAACAUGCUGAAACAAAGCUUUUAGAUUUGAUUGAAGUAGUAUGGAAUGUCACAGGGACAUUUUGCGCCAAUAGCACAGGGGGAAAAUAUCGACAAGUCUGGACAUUUUAAAACCAUGACUGAUCUAGAGCAAAGAGUUUUCCUGUAACUGAAGCUAUAGCUUUCCUGUUCAUGUCCCUAUUCCUUUAUGCACUCUCUCUAAUUAGGCUUUAGAAACACACACACACACACACACACACACACACACACACACACACAGAGCUUUAAUUCUGUGUUUGAUCUGGGAAAGUUCAGUUGCUCUAGUAUUACAUUUCCCCCAUAUUUUGAUCCCUCUGUCUUAUCCUAUAGGCUUUCCUUCUCAGAAACUGCAUCUUCGAUUUAAACUGACGCUGACAUUUAUACCAGUGAGACGCUGCAGCUCUAAAGCUCCUCUUACAAAGCCUCACGAAAUGAAGCACAUGAUAAAGAUGGGACAAAGCUCUUCAGGACGGAGCCAGCAGUCCUCUGUUACAUAAGUAACCUCUGCAGACACUUUACGUGGAGGUACACUUCAAGCAUGAAGAAAUGCAUUUCCCCACACACUCCAUUCUAAACAGAAAGUAAAGACCAAACACCUUAGGAAGAAUAUAUCCUUUCUGCGCAUAUAAUCUUGAGCAGAAACAUGCAGUAUUUUUAGUUAAGUUUUCCUCAUGUUUGUUUAUCAAAGGAAUGAUUAUGCUGAUUACUAUAAGUGCAUUUUGAACGUUACUUUCUUAAUUGCUUGAAUAGAUAUUUAUGUGCAAAAAAUACCUCUUUCACCCCUUGGCUUUCACCACAGCGUCACCAUCAUUCCACAAAUUCACCUGAAACUUACUAGGUCACACCAAGAAGGGUCUGUAGCCGCACAUCACAUUUUUUCCAUACAAGAAAUUUAAGACACAGCCUGGUAAAACUGGAGGAACCAGGUGGGUCAUUUUCAAUAUCUUCUAUAGGAAGCCAGUAGAUUAAAAAGGAAUUCGUGACCUAGUCUCGUGACUUUUUUCCUGAUCAUGGGCCAUCACUCUAAAACAACCCAGCAUGUGGAUUAUGUUAAUGUGAUCUUUGCGUCGAAGGUGUGCUACUGUAAACUAUUAAUUAAUUAACCAAUCAGUUCAUCUAUCUGUCACCAUAUACUGAACACAAGGCACUUGUGCGCUGGCCCCUGCCCUGAAGGAACUCCGUCCGUGGCAGAGACAGGACGCGACACGCUGGAAAGAAGUUACGGCAACUGCUCAGGCUGCUAAUUCUCAGCUAAGCGAGGAUAGAGGGCACCUUUAAUAAAAAAGCUUCCUAAAGGAUCUGAGGCUUGAGUGUACUGUGAAGAGCAGCUUUUAGUUUGCAGAGGAACAAGGGGGAGAAAGAACAAAGGAACAGAACAUGAGAAGACUUGGAGGAGGUGGGAAGAAGCGGGGAGACACAGGUCCAUCCGCUGAGUGAAUGCCAGCCCAGAACAGCAGCUCCAGAAGCGAGCCGGGCACUGAUUAGAAGGAAGGAGCACACAAAGCGCUGGCGGGGGCGGGGGGGGGCAUGUGUCUGGCAGGCAGCAGGCAGGCAGGGGCCACCAUCACCGCGCGCGCUGCCAGAGGGCAGGGAGGACGAGGCCUGGGGGCCACAAGGGAGGCUGAGGGCUGGGAGCAAAGGAGGCCAGUGAGAGGUGUGGGUGUUGGGGUCUCAGAGGCGGAGCCUCCUGGGUCGUGGUGAGGUCUCAGAGGGCUCUUAGGGAGGAGAUUCCCAUACUGCUUGUUUCACAGAGCACCUAAGUGAACUGAUAUCAUUUCUUUCAGAAAGUGGGCUCAGAUCCACCCUCUGAAUCUUUUGGGGAUGGACUCUAAGGGUCUGAACUGACGUUAAACCAAUCUAACAGUGUAUCUAUUUAAUUUUUAAAAAUUGUAUCGUGUUAAGACACUUAACGUGAGAUCUAUCCUCCAAACCGGUUUUAAGCGCACAAUACAGCGUGACUUGAUGGGAUCGGACAGCAAGGAGCCCCGCCUGCACAGAACAGACCCCGACAAAUACACUUGUUAGAUGGCUGAAUUAAUUACAGCACACACUCGACUGCAUCACUGAAACACCUUUUGAGUCUGGUAAAGGGGAAGGCCUUCUAAUAUUUAGUUCAAUUAAUUGACGUUAUCCAGGAAAGCUUGGUAAUCUAAAACAAAAGAUAAAAACCACCCAUUAGGCUGCAGAGUGGUGUAUUUCUAGUCUGUUUUUAAUGGUGAUUCUCUGAAUGGAAUUCAGAUAGAGAAAGAAAGUAACAGGGGUGGUGGCCGGGCUGGGGAUGGAGCGGAAGACAGAGGCAGCAGAAAGCAUGGCCCAGCCGGCUGGCUACCAGGAUGAGUGCAAUCUCUAGAAGGGCAGGAUCUUCUGUUCUUCUUGUCAUGGAAGAUGCAAAGAUGUCCAAGACACCCCUCUAAUGGCCGAGCCACUACCUGACAGGAAGAGACGGCACGAUGCCAUGGAGAGGACACGCCCUACCUGCCCUGCUCCCGUGCGGGGAGAAGCAGUCCCGUCUGCUUUUUACCUCCUCGGUUGAAACAGCUUCUGAACGCCAGCGGCAAGGACAGCAGGACAGCCUCGUCCUCGGGUGCCUGAUGGAAGAAGCUCACCUUUUCUCUGGUAUCAGAGUUUCAUCCCCAGAUCUACUCACGGCUGUGCACUCAGAGGUCCGGAUCGCAUGGGGUUUCCAAAGAGGACAGCGUGAAGAAUUUUUGCUUUAACGUUCAACUGGGGGCUUCCUUACCCUGAACGGUCUGGGACAUUUCCCUAUGUUGUAACACUUGGAUCGGGUUCAUGGAAUUGUCCCCACUUUCAAAACAGAUGACCUCUCACUAGAAGAUUCACUUAUCUCUUUCCCCUCAGCCCCGUAAACCAGUCCAGCAAAGUCCUAACUUGCAACAAACAGGCAAUUCACUCUACCAGACAACACAGUUAUCUAAUCUCCCAAAAACGACACCUGGCAAGUUUCUAACCAUAAUGCCAUUUGACGCGUUUCCAUCAACAUUUCUUCUUACAAGCAAUAUUAAUAAUGCCUUUUAAGUCUGAAGGCUCCAUAACCAGUGGAAAAUAACAUAAUAAUAACUGGCAGCCCCUGGCAAGCAGCCUCUGUUCCGAAUGAGUGUUUGAAGAUUACCAGCGAAGUUCCCAGGAGAACGAAUGAGCUCUUGCGUCAUUCAUCAAACGUUCACUGGCCCCAAAUGCGUGCCAGGCCCUGUGCUUGUUACUGGAGGGGUGAACGGUCUUUGCCGUCACGGAGCUGACGGCCUGGGAAGAAAGACCGACACUAAAUACAGGUGAGGAUUCCAGACACCACCACCGAUGAGCUGAUUUGCAGGGCAAUGAGUAGUUGCCUUUCCAGAUGGGUCGCAGCCACAUAGAUGUCCUCAUGGAGGUCAUACUUUCUCUUCUCUAUCAAUGUGAACAACUUUCAAAUGAAAGAGUGGAAGCGAUUAUGUGUCCAAGAAAGCAAGCACUUCCUUUUGCUGUUAAUCAAGUUGCCCAACACCUCUGCGGGCCCCUAACCUGGCAGAUGCAGCCGCUGCCGCGCGCUAUCACACAGGGCGGGAGGACGGAGAGACACACCGCGAGGGAAAAACCCAGAACGCAAGCCCGCUCUGGCCAGGUGGAUGGCCUUGGGCCCAUCCAGGCUCACACGAAAGAAAAAGCGUCCCCAGUCAUAUCUAGCCACCCGAUUAGAGCACUGACCUCAGCAAUAAUCGUACUCCAGGAGCUCAGGACACCGCUUCUCAAGCCCUGGAGGGCCUAUGAAUUACGAGAGAUUUUGUUAAAAUAUAUCACCAACAAGGAGAGAUGAAGGAGACGGGAGAGCUGGGACACGGUGGUCCCCCAGGCCACGAGGCAAAAGCAGACACCACGCUGUCCAAAGCUGCAAAAGCUCGGAGCAGGUGAGAGGAAAGGCACGGACCAGAUCUCAACUACAGAGGCAGUCUCCGAACCUUUCCCAGAUGAGUUUCAGUGGCGCGGUGAGAACACACGGAUUAUAUUCUGAGGAAGUGCACACACUGACUCGGGGGAGAAAAUGCACAGUGACAGUUUCUUCUCACAUUUGCUGGGAUAAGACCAUCUCUGACUACAUUGCAAUUUGAAAGUCUGGUUUCCAAGGAUUAAACAUUUGUUGGAGAUAUACAACUUGAGAGCCAACAUUACUUCCAUAUAUUUUCCCCAACUUUACUCAGGCAUAAUUAACAAAUAAAAAGUGUAUCUAUUUAGGAUGUACAAUGUGAUGAUUUAAUAACACACAUGU
Long non-coding RNA from Physeter macrocephalus (sperm whale), 5901 nucleotides. RefSeq lists it as uncharacterized. The transcript has 3 exons. Lineage: Eukaryota; Metazoa; Chordata; Mammalia; Artiodactyla; Physeteridae. The record is from RefSeq and is a predicted model, not a curated record.